RNAcentral lists this long non-coding RNA (1759 nucleotides) under Piliocolobus tephrosceles (Ugandan red Colobus). Its description in RNAcentral is "lncRNA (ENSPTEG00000005684.1)". Lineage: Eukaryota; Metazoa; Chordata; Mammalia; Primates; Cercopithecidae. The record is from RNAcentral.
AAGAUAAGGAUCAAGUCACAGAUGUAUAUAGUUCAGAUGUAGGAAACACAAAACGUACAAAGACAAAUGAUACACAAAUUGAUUAUACGCAAAUCGAAAACUAUACCGAAAAAGAAAUUCAAAAUAUACAAUUAAAUCCGAAAGUGGAUAAUAGUAAUAAUCUCAUAAAAAAUGUUAACUUAGACCUAGGUGAGGAAAAAGAGACAAUAAAUAACGAUAUAGAUAAUAAUGUAAGUGAUACAUAUGAUAGUGACGCUUAUAGAAGUUUGGAUGAAGGUGCAAAUCAUUGUGUUAAUGAAAGUAUUGUGAACAAAAAAAAUGGCAACGAAACGAUGAGUUUGUAUAUAGAAAAUGUAAUAACGAAUGUAAAUAAAAAUGAGAAGAAUAAUACUGAGCAUAAUAAUAUGAAUCAAUUAAAUUACAAUAAUAACUGUAAUAGUGAUAAUAUUAAUUAUAACAAUAUUAGUAAUAAUGUUGAUGGUACUACAUUUAACAGUCAUAAUAAUAAUAAUGACUCUAACACUUUUAUAAGUGACAAGUUGGACAAAAACUAUUUAAGUAAGAUUAUUUCUAAUGGAGCAAUUGAAAAUGAUUUUAGUACUUCUAAAGAGGAUAUUGUAGGUGAACAAUCAGAUGGAAAAGAAGAUAAACCAGAUAUCAUCACUAUCAACAGCAACACAAUGAACAAUUUUUUUUCCAUAAAAAAAAAUAAAUUUACAAACAAACAAAUCCAUUUUGGAGACACGUGUGUAUCUGAACAUGAGUUUGAAUCAAACGAGCAAAAAAAAACAAAUUCAGAUGAAAAUAAAAAUAAUGAAAAAAAACGAAAAACUUAUUUUGAUUCUGAAAUUAUAGAAUCUGAUACUUCCUACAAUAGUAAUAAUUUUAAAAAAAUAAAAAAAAAUGAAAAUAUUAUAAAUAAUCAAAACAAUGUAGUAAAAUACACUGUUGGACAAGAUGAUAGUAACAAUAGCAGCUACACCGAUAAUGACCAUAGUAAUUACAGCGAUAACAGUAACGAUGACAAUAUUGAUCAAUGUAUUUAUAACGAUAAAUAUAUUAACUAUAACAGAAACAACAACAACAACAACAACAACAACAAUAACAACAAUAAUAACAAUAACAACAAUAACAACAAUAACAACAAUAACAACAAUAAUAACAAUAACAACAAUAAUAACAAUAAUAACAGUUAUAACGAAAGUGAAGACGAUAUAGAGGUGGACAGUGAGGUGGAUAGCCAAAAUGGAGAACAUGAGGGAAAAAUAUACUUCAGCCAUAAAAACAGAAAUAAUUUCCCAUUAGGUAACAAUAAUAUUUACGACAUUAGAGAACAUUCAUAUAAUCAUAUGGCACAGGUACAGUUUGGUAAUAGAAAGCAGGAAUUCCAAAACGAUAGUGAAACAGAAGAAGAACAUAGUUCAGGAAGUAAUAAAAGUUGCUAUACAAUCUCUUCAGAUAAUAAUAGUGACAAUGAAAAUAAUAAUUAUAUAAGUAAUGAUAAUACGAGAAAAAUGACGAACAAACAAAAGAACGAGAAUGAAGGGGAUGAAGAGGAUGUAGAGUAUGAAGAGUAUGAAGAGGAUGUGGAGGAAGAAGAAGUUGACGAAGUUGAAGAGGUGGACGAAGUGGAUGAAAUGGAUAAUUGUAAUGAACGUAUCGUUAGAGGUGAUACACCAGAAACAAUAUAUAGUGGUGUGCAUUAUGAGGAACAUAAUAAAAAUUAUAAUAAUGGCAUAACUGACAUAACUGGCAUAAC